AAAAUAUUGGAGGACUUAAGUACAAUAACACAACAAUUAACAGAAUUAUUAAAAACAAAUGAUGAAAGUAAAUUUGUCACGACUAGGGUUGUCGCCGUCGCCGUUACCGUCGCGGAGGUUCUUCAUCUCCGGAGAGGCUCAUCGCCGGUUAAGACCACUCGAUUGUCGAUUCGUUGGGUUUCUGUGCUCUCAGACUCAGUUCUGUGUUCUAAUUUGGACGAGUGGGACAAAGUUCAUGUCUUGUCUAUAUUGAUUGGUAAUCAUAGCUGUUGCUUUUGAUGCGCUUGGCGUCAGAGUUCAUCAUGCUACAAUGGGUAAGAAGAAUUUGAGGUCGGCUGCCAUGGCGGCCAAGAUGAAAUCGAGUGGCAAAGAUUCAUUUAAAAAAGUAGGAAUUAUCAGUGGCAGCAAUGGAGCACGGAAGUCGGAAAGCUGCAACACAAUGUGUCGCUUCGAUAUUAACCAAGGAGACCCUUGGAGUUCCAGAUGAAAGCUUUAUAUAAUUAUUCCUCUAACCCUUCCAUUCAAAAUUCGCAGAAGGGUUUUGUCUGAAAUCUUGGGCGCUUCUCUUUAAUCUGGGAAAUAUUUAGGUCCCUUGAUCAUAUUAUAUAACCGGAGAUCAAUUUGUUUCCAUUUCACCGUACAUUCUUUUCUCAAAAUAUCUUGCCGUAAAAAAAAUGGAGAAACUCUCAACUCCACCAGGUUUUGUGUCAAAAACAUCGUUUGUGUUGAAGCAAGUAUCGCGUGAAAAAGAAAGAACCAAUCUCCCUGAUGAUGGGGAAAGUUGCCUAAAGAGCCGACCAUGGAUACUGCAUGAUCAGACAGCUCUCAGCGAGGCAUCAGAACAUGAGGUGGCUCUUAAACCAUAUCUUUCACAGUACUUGGUUUUUUUCUUCUUCCAAGAUUGGUGUCUUAUCAUUUGUUGGUAUCUCUUCUGAUUCUUAAAGAUGAUGGUAACAAUUAGAUCUUUAAAAUGAGAUUUAUUCUGUAAUCUUGCUGGUUUCUGCUGCUACUAAUAGGCAUUAGAUUUGAUGCAUUGAGGGUUAGCUAAAGCCGCAGUCUUUAUUUCUUAAAUUGUAAUGAGUUUUGCAAUGAAAUUUUGUUACAUUGUUCAUCUCAAUGAGUUUUAUAGCAUAUAAAUUUGACUCAUCCACAAUCCAAAAAUAUUCAAAACAAUCUUAACUAGUAGAAAUGAUAUAUUUUGGUCAAGAAAAUUAAUGUAUGAAAUAAUUGGUCCAUUCAUCAUGUAAUGUGUCCGUUCAAUUUAAAGGAUGAUUACAAAGUUUAUACAAUUUUUAACAAAAAGAGAGUUAAUUUAUUGGGAGCAAAAAGUUAUGUUGUCCAUAUUUGAUGUUAAGAAUGAAAUUUUUCUUAGUUUAGAAUAUGCCUUUUCACGGUUCUGAUGUUUAUAUAUGACUGUGUUUGUAUGCAUGUAUGUGUUUGUAUGUAUAUGUAUAUAUCCUGGAAGUAAGUAUGUAUGUGUAUGUAUUUUAGGGUUUAUAAUGAAUUUGAUGUAGACGUGGUUCGAGUUCUCGCUACGGUAGUUGAAUUGGGGGCGGUAAUAAGAGAUUUGAUCUCUCCAAACUCUAGCAAAUAAGUUUCCAAGUGUAGGAAACCAAAAGUGUGGACUGCUCAAGAGGGUGCUGGCAUCUUCAACACCUUGGCUAUGAUUAACUACCUUGCAAUCGGAUUAAGAAUCCAAGGAUUCAAAGGUUAGUUUUCGUUCUUGAAGUUCUUCAUCAAAGCAUGAUGGUCCGUGGGUCGUUCAAAAUUGUUUUGAACUGGUGAGCGAGGAUUCUGCGCGAUCCAACAACUACUCCAAAGCGAGCACGCUUAACUUUAGAAUUCUUUCGAGAUGGGACAACCGAAAAGGUAGAUGAUCUUGUUGUUACGAGUAGUUCAAUCAAUUUCUUUAAGUUAUUUUUGACUGUGUAGUCCCAUACCUAUAUAGUCCUCGGAUCUCUCUCAUUUCGGUGCGUUUGAUUCAUCCCUAUACUCCUUACCAGAAGCUCAUCAGGAGUCAUUCCUUGUUUGUGUUUCUCGCACAUGCUGUUGCAAUUAAUAUGUAUUAUAUUAUGUAGGUUGUCUAGCCAGAUGCUAAGUGUCGCAUCUAUGGCGAGGCUUGAGGAAGGUGAGGCACAGAUUACUCGUUACGAGGAGUUAUUGUAGCGUAUGCUUCCUAUACAUCCAUCGUCAGCCAAUGCUUCAGAGCAAGACUUGGUUCAGCCAGCAAUCGAGCGUGGUGUCGGACCUUCAGGAGCCUCUGGGGAGCAGGAAUACGGAUCCGAGAACCCCGAUAAUUAUUUGGUGUAAUUUUAUUUGUUGUAUUUUCAUAAACACUUUUAUGUAUUUUGAUAUAAUA
Long non-coding RNA from Tarenaya hassleriana, 2359 nucleotides. RefSeq lists it as uncharacterized. NCBI's taxonomy places the organism in Eukaryota, Viridiplantae, Streptophyta, Magnoliopsida, Brassicales, Cleomaceae. The record is from RefSeq and is a predicted model, not a curated record. The transcript is spliced from 3 exons.